AGGUGGGAGGAUGGCUUGAGCCCAGGAGAUGGAGGUUGCAGUGAGCUGAGAUUGCACCACUGCACUCCAGGCUGGGUGAUAGAGUCAGACUUUGUCU
This 97-nucleotide microRNA precursor is filed under the name Cebus imitator (Panamanian white-faced capuchin). RNAcentral describes it as "miRNA (ENSCCAG00000018377.1)". The record is from RNAcentral. Lineage: Eukaryota; Metazoa; Chordata; Mammalia; Primates; Cebidae.